Molecule: long non-coding RNA, 256 nt
Organism: Solanum dulcamara
Lineage: Eukaryota; Viridiplantae; Streptophyta; Magnoliopsida; Solanales; Solanaceae
Exons: 3
Source: RefSeq, a predicted model, not a curated record
CACCAAAUCGAUCAUCAAGACUUUCCUUGGUUGAUCCCCAAACAAACUCCACACGAUUGAGGUUGUUUAUAUCGUGUGCAAGUUGAAGAACUUGAGACAUUUGAUGGCCUACAGUUUAAACUUUUGAAGUCGUGUGGGACUGUUGAAUUGUUGUAUGCUAAAAGGGCUGAGGAAAUGUCCGAGAAGAUGCUUGAGGUUGGCCAUUGGAGAUGAAGUUUUGGGAGCUUUAAGGGAGAUCACAUUUGCAUAUAGGCAU